CCUGCCCACUGAUUUAUUAAAUGGCCGCAGUAUUUUGACUGUGCAAAGGUAGCAUAAUCAUUAGUUUUUUAAUUAAAAGCUUGUAUGAAGGGUUGGACGAAGUAGAAUCUGUCUCUAUUUAAUUUAUAGUAGAAUUUAAUUUUUAAGUUAAAAAGCUUAAAUUUUUAUAAAAGACGAGAAGACCCUAUAGAUCUUUAUAUUUUUAUGAUUAAUUUUAAUUAAGAAUACUUUAUUUUUUAUUUAUAUAAAUAUUUUAUUGGGGUAAUAAAGAGAUUAAAUAAAUUCUUUUUGGUAUUAAAUAUUGAUUAAUAUAUAUAUGAUCCAAUAAUUUUGAUUAUAAGAUUAAGUUACCUUAGGGAUAACAGCGUAAUUUUUUUAGAGAGUUCAUAUCGAUAAAAAAGUUUGCGACCUCGAUGUUGGAUUAAAAAUUAUUC
This 434-nucleotide ribosomal RNA is filed under the name Copelatus sp. MB 1194. Its description in RNAcentral is "partial 16S ribosomal RNA". Lineage: Eukaryota; Metazoa; Arthropoda; Insecta; Coleoptera; Dytiscidae. The record is from RNAcentral.